RNAcentral lists this ribosomal RNA (327 nucleotides) under uncultured eukaryote. Its description in RNAcentral is "partial 18S ribosomal RNA". It matches the Rfam family "Eukaryotic small subunit ribosomal RNA", at positions 1470 to 1796 of the family's 1831-position model. The record is from RNAcentral.
CCCUUAGAUGUUCUGGGCCGCACACGCGCUACACUGAAGGAGGCAGCGUGUACUCCUGGAUCGAAAGAUUUGGGUAACCCGCGAUUCUCCUUCGUGCUAGGGAUUGAGGUUUGCAAUUAUCCUUCAUGAACGAGGAAUUCCCAGUAAGUGCAAGUCAUAAGCUUGCGCUGACUACGUCCCUGCCCUUUGUACACACCGCCCGUCGCUACUACCGAUUGAAUGAUUUAGUGAGGACUUCGGACUGGGACCGAUGCGGCUUUCGGGCUGCGUCGGUAUUCUGGAAAGAUGUCCAAACUGUAUCAUUUAGAGGAAGUAAAAGUCGUAACA